RNAcentral lists this ribosomal RNA (253 nucleotides) under uncultured bacterium. Its description in RNAcentral is "partial 16S ribosomal RNA". It matches the Rfam family "Bacterial small subunit ribosomal RNA", at positions 524 to 776 of the family's 1533-position model. The record is from RNAcentral.
UACGUAGGGUGCGAGCGUUAAUCGGAAUUACUGGGCGUAAAGCGUGCGCAGGCGGUUCGUUAAGUCAGCUGUGAAAGCCCCGGGCUUAACCUGGGAAUGGCGGUUGAAACUGGCGAACUUGAACCUGGCAGAGGGGGGUGGAAUUCCUGGUGUAGCAGUGAAAUGCGUAGAUAUCAAGCGGAACACCAGUGGCGAAGGCGAGUCCCUGGACAACUCCUGACACUGAGGCACGAAAGCUAGGGGAGCAAACAGG